Molecule: ribosomal RNA, 694 nt
Filed under: uncultured Burkholderia sp.
Lineage: Bacteria; Pseudomonadati; Pseudomonadota; Betaproteobacteria; Burkholderiales; Burkholderiaceae
Description: bacterial SSU rRNA
Rfam family: Bacterial small subunit ribosomal RNA
Source: RNAcentral
CGGCAGCACGGGAGCAAUCCUGGUGGCGAGUGGCGAACGGGUGAGUAAUACAUCGGAACGUGUCCUGUAGUGGGGGAUAGCCCGGCGAAAGCCGGAUUAAUACCGCAUACGCUCUACGGAGGAAAGGGGGGGAUCUUAGGACCUCUCGCUACAGGGGCGGCCGAUGGCAGAUUAGCUAGUUGGUGGGGUAAAGGCCUACCAAGGCGACGAUCUGUAGCUGGUCUGAGAGGACGACCAGCCACACUGGGACUGAGACACGGCCCAGACUCCUACGGGAGGCAGCAGUGGGGAAUUUUGGACAAUGGGCGCAAGCCUGAUCCAGCAAUGCCGCGUGUGUGAAGAAGGCCUUCGGGUUGUAAAGCACUUUUGUCCGGAAAGAAAACUUCCUGGUUAAUACCCGGGGAGGAUGACGGUACCGGAAGAAUAAGCACCGGCUAACUACGUGCCAGCAGCCGCGGUAAUACGUAGGGUGCAAGCGUUAAUCGGAAUUACUGGGCGUAAAGCGUGCGCAGGCGGUCCGCUAAGACAGAUGUGAAAUCCCCGGGCUUAACCUGGGAACUGCAUUUGUGACUGGCGGGCUAGAGUAUGGCAGAGGGGGGUAGAAUUCCACGUGUAGCAGUGAAAUGCGUAGAGAUGUGGAGGAAUACCGAUGGCGAAGGCAGCCCCCUGGGCCAAUACUGACGCUCAUGCACGA